Molecule: ribosomal RNA, 377 nt
Filed under: uncultured eukaryote
Lineage: Eukaryota
Description: partial 18S ribosomal RNA
Rfam family: Eukaryotic small subunit ribosomal RNA
Source: RNAcentral
CAAUAGCGUAUAUUUAAGUUGUUGCAGUUAAAAAGCUCGUAGUUGGAUUUCGGGUGGGACGCAGCGGUCUCGCAUUGCGUUUGUACUGCUGCAGCCCUCCUUCUUGCCGGGGGCGGCCUCUCGGACUUCACUGUCUGGGGGUCAGAAUCGGCGAUGUUACUUUGAGUAAAUUAGAGUGUUCAAAGCAAGCUUACGCUCUGAAUAUAAUAGCAUGGGAUAACACGACAGGACUCUGGCCUAUCGUGUUGGUCUAUAGGACCAGAGUAAUGAUUAAGAGGGACAGUCGGGGGCAUUCGUAUUCCGUUGUCAGAGGUGGAAUUCUUGGAUUUACGGAAGACGAACAUCUGCGAAAGCAUUUGCCAAGGAUGUUUUCAUUG